UAUACCCACCCACUUCUCCUUCUUCUUCUACUCCCUUGACCAUCAACCUCAAACUCUGAAACCACCACAAAAAAAAAACAUUAAAUCUGAAUUUUAAUGCUUCAUCUUGUAAUCCAAUUGUUCCAACCGUACCAACAAAACAUUUCCAACUUGUUAUCAAUUUUUCACUUCUAAACCCUAAAUCGCAUUAAGACUUCAAUACCAUUAAAAUUAAAUCAAAAUUGAUCCAUAUGUUCUGAGUUUCCUCAACCUCUGUAAUGCCAAAAUGAUUUUACGAACCCUAGAUACUAAAAUUUGUUACGGAUAUGGGAUUUCGAAAUUGAAGGAGUCGAUUUUAGAGGGCACAAGAAGAAAAGGAUAAUAGCAGCAAGUGGUGGCAGCGGUGGUUCUUAUUGAACUUCAUCAGAAAAAGAUGAACAUUUUGAUAAUUUAUGGUUUUUUGGAAUAUCUUGGUGUAGUUAAUAAUCUAAUGAGGAAAACAAAGAUGGUAAAGAUAAAAUGGUACCUUAAUAGCCUGUGAAGCAGAAAGUAUCCCAAACAGAUCUGAAGAAAGUCUCCAACAGGUCUGGGAACAAACAGGGCGACAACCUAUAAGAACCCAGACAACAAUGUGAAAAGGCAACAUAGAGAUUUUUAGUUCAGAAAGGUAGAUAAAAUAAGAAGAAAACUUCUGCGUUUUGCAAAGGUAGAUCUCUAAAUUAAGGGUGGGAAAAGUAACUUGUUCAUGCAUAAAUGUUCUGUAUUGAAACUUGCUUACCAUUAUCUCUCCAAGAGCUCCAAGGUACUUUCUCCGAAUUCACUGGAAAUAAUACAUACAUACAUAUAUAUAUAAUUAACACCACAACAAAUUGUUUGUUUUUAGUAUGGCAUUGCUACUAGCACUGAAAUAGAUAUCUCUUUUACCCGUGUAUCUGCAUGGAUUUGAUUUUCUAUGAUAACUAAUGAUUUAGAAGAAACAACAAAGAUUUUUGCAUCACUAUCUUCAGAUAAUUUUGUAAUUUAUGUAGGAACAAAAAAUAAAUGAUAGUAAUUUGUAGGUAAAAAGGGAUGCUUACUGUUUAUCUCAUAGUUAUGGGCGCAGGAGUCUUUUUAUAAUUAUCACUAGCAAGUAUUGUAUUCAACUGGGCCAUUUUUUUUUGUUAUAGUGUAUCCUUUGUGCAGUUUUCAUGCUCUGUACACUUGCCAUAGUUAUUUCUUGUGUCGCAUUUAUCUGCUUAUUGAUCUGAUAUCUUUUAUCCAAUUUGGCGUUUUUAGUUGGUACCUGGAUCAUGUUACAUACAUGAUGCAUUUGUUACUUAACCUUUCUUGCACAUCCUUGUUACUUAUUACAAGCUAAUGUUAUUUUAAGUUCUAGUUACAUUAUGUUGUUAUGUUACUCUCAACUAGGUCAGGUUCAUGUUCUUCAAUUUAUUCAUUCUCCUACACACUUCAUUGCUAAUUAAACUAAUUUGUAGCUUGUAUGAGGUAUGACUUGUGUUUUUUUUUUUCUUCCUGUCGCCAUUUAAAUUCUAUUUAUCUGCAAUGCUUGUUGUCUCAUCCAUUAAUUAGUCUUGAAUUUUUGUUUAGUAAUUCCAUGCUCUGCUGGUGGUCGUAUCAUGAUUAUUCCUGUCAUUUCUUUUUCCGAAGUUUUGAAGUAUCAAUUAUUCUUAUUUAUCUAGGAUAUGUUUCAUAUUGUAUUUUAUAUCCCUUCUGCAGUUAUUGAUUUUUUUCUUCUUGCUGCAGAAAACACCAAAUCAAGUCGAUGCUGAAAGGGAACUCUUAGGUAAAACGAUCAAGGUUUGGUUGCCUGAUUAUCAAGUAUAAAAUUCUGGUUCUUAGAUUGUGUGAACUGUAAUAGAUAUACCCAUGGAGAUUCUUAAGUGAAGACAUCUAUUAUGAUGUAUAUACUGGGCAGGAUAGUGUCAGAACUUCUUACGGAUUGCCACUGUCUCUGAGCUGUGGCAUUUUUUGCUAUCUUUUUAGGUUGCUUUCUUUCCUGCUGAUGUUUAUCUUUGCGCUCUAAAUAUGCAAAGAGAUGUUGUCGUCCACUUUUCACGCAUAUGCAACAUGAAGAUUUUAGGAUGCCAGAUCCAAUCCUCCAUUAAAGGUUAAAGCGGAAUGCGAAGAUGUCUUACAAGAAUCUGUUAGAGUUUCAUAGAAACCAGUAAUGCUGCUUAUGCAUGCCAAUCAUGUUUCUUAUUUUUUUUUAAUGUCGUGAACUGAUGAUUAUGUUAUUUGACUCAGAAGCUUAAUUGUGUUUCAAUCUUCUUGAUGUAUUUAACUUUCAUUAGUGAAUGAAUGAAAGUUUUUCAUA
Long non-coding RNA from Papaver somniferum (opium poppy), 2293 nucleotides. RefSeq lists it as uncharacterized. The transcript has 4 exons. NCBI's taxonomy places the organism in Eukaryota, Viridiplantae, Streptophyta, Magnoliopsida, Ranunculales, Papaveraceae. The record is from RefSeq and is a predicted model, not a curated record.